UUUGUAAAAGAAAUAAAAUAAAAAAAUCCAGAUCUUAACCUUUUAAAACUGUUGUUAACUUUUGAUUUUCUGAUGUGCGUAAAAAAUUACAAAGAGAUACUGUGGUUUUUUAUAGCCAAAUUACAAAUGUUUCAUCUCUGUUUCAUUUGUCGUUUUCUAUUUGUUUUUCUGCUUUUGUCUUUUUUUUCUAUUUGGUCUUUUUUGUUGCGUGUUGCCUUAGUUUUGUAGGUGUCAGGUGCUGGAUGGUCGGUGAUUGACGAGCGGCAGUGGUGUGCGGCGAUGGGCGUGCGCUGGAGGCUACGGCGCUGGAGGCUGGCCCUGGCUAGGGUUUUUUCUUUUGCUUAAUUUUUUUAAAAAAUGUGGGCUGGUUAUUUUGGGCUUAGGGUUAAUGUGAUUUGGGCUAGACGUUGGGUUUUGGUCUAUUUGGGUUUGGGUUAUUUUAUUUGUAAUGGGCUGUUAACUCUUUUGGUUUAAUUUGG
Molecule: long non-coding RNA, 479 nt
Filed under: Gossypium raimondii (Peruvian cotton)
Lineage: Eukaryota; Viridiplantae; Streptophyta; Magnoliopsida; Malvales; Malvaceae
Description: long non-coding RNA (GRAI_LNC010341)
Source: RNAcentral